UGGAUGAUGUGGAUUAAUUCGAUGCAACGCGAAAACCUUACCUACCCUUGACAUGUCCGGAAUCCCGAAGAGAUUUGGGAGUGCUCGCAAGAGAACCGGAACACAGGUGCUGCAUGGCUGUCGUCAGCUCGUGUCGUGAGAUGUUGGGUUAAGUCCCGCAACGAGCGCAACCCUUGUCAUUAGUUGCCAUCAUUUGGUUGGGCACUCUAAUGAGACUGCCGGUGACAAACCGGAGGAAGUGGGGAUGACGUCAAGUCCUCAUGGCCCUUAUGGGUGGGGCUACACACGUCAUACAAUGGCCGGUACAGAGGGUAGCCAACCCGCGAGGGGGAGCCAAUCCCACAAAGCCGGUCGUAGUCCGGAUCGCAGUCUGCAACUCGACUGCGUGAAGUCGGAAUCGCUAGUAAUCGCGGAUCAGCAUGUCGCGGUGAAUACGUUCCCGGGUCUU
This 448-nucleotide ribosomal RNA is filed under the name uncultured Rhodocyclaceae bacterium. RNAcentral describes it as "bacterial SSU rRNA". It matches the Rfam family "Bacterial small subunit ribosomal RNA", at positions 933 to 1382 of the family's 1533-position model. The record is from RNAcentral. Lineage: Bacteria; Pseudomonadati; Pseudomonadota; Betaproteobacteria; Rhodocyclales; Rhodocyclaceae.